Molecule: long non-coding RNA, 2585 nt
Filed under: Capsicum annuum
Lineage: Eukaryota; Viridiplantae; Streptophyta; Magnoliopsida; Solanales; Solanaceae
Description: long non-coding RNA (CANN_LNC008726)
Source: RNAcentral
CAGCACAUAGCUAUGUUACAUUUCAUCAAACCUGUUAUACAAUACAGCCCACCAAUCAACAUUUAAUAUAAAAUCAACCACAAUAAGAAUACAAACAUUAAAAAUCAAAUUAUUUACAAAAUUUAUCGAGGUUUCAAAUCCAAACUACAAAACACACAAAAGACUAAAACUACAACUCAUCAUCCGCAUCCGCAUUCUCAGCCUCACCCAUUCUAUUAUCAUUAUUUCAUUGAUAUAUCCAGCUAUAAUUAGGUUCCAUCUACACAAUCAAUCACAUUCAAGUAAUUAGUUCAAGUCACAAAAGUUCACAUUUCAAGUACCUACACUUAAACAUUUUCAAGUCACUAAUUCACUUCACAAGUUACCAAACUAAACUUAAUUCAAAAUGAAAAGUUUACAUUUCAAAUACCUACACUUAAACAUUUUCAAGUCACUAAUUCACUUCUCAAGUGACCACACUUUACUAAAAUCAAAAUGAAAGUUCACAUUUCAAGUACCCAAAUUCAAAACAGAAGUCACUAAUUCAUAAUUCACGUACCUACACCUAAACAUUUUCAAGUCACUAAGUCACUUCACAAGUUACCAAACUAAACUAAAUUCAAAAUGAAAAGUUAACAUUUCAAGUACCUACACCUAAAUAUUUUCAAGUCUCUAAGUCACUUCACAAGUUACCAAACUAACCUAAAUUCAAAAUGAAAAGUUCACAUUUCAAGUACCUACACCUAAACAUUUUCAAGUCACUAAAUCAUUUCACAAGUUACCAAACUAAACUAAAUUCAAAAUGAAAAGUUCACAUUUCAAGUACCUACACCUAAACAUUUUGAAGUCACUUAUUCACUUCUUAAGUGACCAUGCUUAACUAAAUUCAAAACACAAGUGACCAUACUUAACUAAAUUCAAAACACAAGUUCACAUUUCAAGUACCUACACUUAAACAUUUUCAAGUCGCUUAUUCACUUCUCAAGUGACCACACUUAACUAAAUUCAAAACACAAGAUCACAUUUCAAGUACCUACACUUAAACAUUUUCAAGUCACUUAUUCACUUCUCAAGUUACCAAACUAAACUAAAUUCAAAACUAAAAUUCACAUUUCAAGUACCUACACUUCAAUAUUUUCAAGUCACUAAGUCACUUCACAAGUUACCAAACUAAACUAAAUUCAAAACUAAAUUUCACAUUUCAAGUACCUACACUUCAACAUUUUUAAGUUACUAAGUCACUUCACAAGUUACCAAACUAAACUAAAUUUAAAACUAAAAUUCACAUCUCAAGUACCUACACUUCAACAUUUUCAAGUCACUAAUUCACUUUACAAGUUACCAAACUUUACUAAAUUCAAAAUAAAAGUUCACAUUUCAAGUACCUACACUUCAAUUUUUUCAAGUCACUAAGUCACUUCACAAGUUAUCAAACUAAACUAAAUUCAAAAUGAAAAUUUCACAUUUCAAUUACCUACACCUAAAUAUUUUCAAGUCACCAAGUCACUUCACAAGUAACCAAACUAAUUAAAUUCAAAAUGAAAAGUUCACAUUUCAAGUACCUACACCUUAACAUUUUCAAGUCACUUCACAAGUUACUAAACUAAACUAAAUUUAAAAUGAAAAGUUCAUAUUUCAAGUACCUACAUCUAAAUAUUUUCAAGUCACUAAGUCACUUUACAAGUUACCAAAUUAAAAAAAAUUCAAAAUGAAAAGUUCACAUUUCAAGUAUCUACACCUAAACAUUUUCAAGUCACUAAGUCACUUCACAAGUUACCAAACUAAACUAAAUGUGUAACAGCACUGUGAAACUUUUGUAAGAAAUUAACUAUCUCUUCUUAAGCAAUCCAAUUUAUAUCGGUCAAAUUAUUUUUAUCACUAUCACCACCACGACCACCACCACUGUCAAUAACAACAUCAUUAAUAACAAUAUCAUCAACAAUAACAUCAGCAUCAACAACAAUAGAUUCAUUAUAAGCUUCUGUAAGAAUGGCUUUAUAUUCCAUGGCACCUUCUAACAUAUCAUAAGUAGUAUUCCACCUUGUUGGAAUAUCUACUUUUCGAGAUAAUUUCAUUACUUGUUUAUCAGCUAAAUAUCUUUUACUUAAUUCGUUCUCUCUAAAACUACAACCAUAAAUAUAGUGCACCAUUUUUCUUACUUUUCUAAUUUCAAGUUCAAAACGAGCAAUUCCAUCCCUAACAAUCGAAUUCAGAAUAUGACAUGCACAUUUAACACAACUAUGCUUCAUUUCUUGCACAUUUGAUUCAUUCUCUUUCUUCUUAAAAUAUGAAUUAACAGAAAAUAACUUAUCAACAUCAACAUGUUACCUGAGGGAGCGACGGAGCGAGGGAGUUUGCCGGUGAGCUGCUUUCGGUGGUGGUUUUGCCGGUGGAAGGUGGAUGUUGAUCGGUGGAAUCCUCGCCGGCAGUGGUGGAUUUCAUCGGUGGGGGAUGGUUUUGUUUGGUUGGUGAUGUUGAGAGGCAACAUCUUGGUGGAGUGGUGGCGGUAGAGAUGAUUGAGGAGAGAGAGGUGAUGGACUCACCGGUGGUGGAGCAGUGGUGGUAGUGAAGCAGCGGAGAGAGCUUGUAUAGGAGAUGCCGCUGUU